UUAUGCAUUGUAUUAUAUAUUUCUAUCAUGUUGUUUCUUAGAAGAUUUUAAGAUACGCAAAUCUAGAUCAUUAGAUUUUGUGGCUAAAUAGAAAUAUAGCAUGUCAAAAUUGUAUCUUGGGCACGAUGAUGUUUUGUACAUGUCUAGCAAUACUCUUUGGAAUGAGAAUCCAUACAUGUAUUAUGAAAGAGACAAGCAACGCUCCCGUACAAGAUCUUAAUCAGGGUACACAUACAUGCUUCUGCACUCUCCCCU
RNAcentral lists this long non-coding RNA (255 nucleotides) under Setaria viridis. Its description in RNAcentral is "long non-coding RNA (SVIR_LNC000136)". The record is from RNAcentral. Lineage: Eukaryota; Viridiplantae; Streptophyta; Magnoliopsida; Poales; Poaceae.